RNAcentral lists this ribosomal RNA (253 nucleotides) under uncultured bacterium. RNAcentral's name for it is "partial 16S ribosomal RNA". It matches the Rfam family "Bacterial small subunit ribosomal RNA", at positions 524 to 776 of the family's 1533-position model. The record is from RNAcentral.
UACAGAGGGGGCAAGCGUUGUUCGGAAUUACUGGGCGUAAAGGGCGCGUAGGCGGCCUGGCAAGUGGAAGGUGAAAUCCCUCGGCUUAACCGAGGAACUGCCCUCCAAACUGCUUGGCUUGAGUCCGGGAGAGGUGAGUGGAAUUCCCAGUGUAGCGGUGAAAUGCGCAGAUAUCAGGAGGAACACCGGUGGCGAAGGCGGGUCUCUGGGCCGAUAUUGACGCUGAGGAGCGAAAGCGUGGGGAGCAAACAGG